UACGAAGGGUGCAAACGUUGCUCGGAAUUAUUGGGCGUAAAGCGCACGUAGGCGGCUCUGCAAGUCGGAUGUGAAAUCCCUCGGCUCAACCAAGGAAGUGCAUCCGAAACUGCGGAGCUUGAGUACUUAAGAGGAUCGCGGAAUUCCCGGUGUAGAGGUGAAAUUCGUAGAUAUCUGGAGGAACACCGGUGGCGAAGGCGGCAUCCUGGACCGGUAUUGACGCUGAGGCGCGAAAGCCAGGGGAGCAAACGGG
Molecule: ribosomal RNA, 253 nt
Filed under: uncultured bacterium
Lineage: Bacteria
Description: partial 16S ribosomal RNA
Rfam family: Bacterial small subunit ribosomal RNA
Source: RNAcentral